This is a long non-coding RNA of Dreissena polymorpha, 1662 nucleotides long. RefSeq lists it as uncharacterized. Lineage: Eukaryota; Metazoa; Mollusca; Bivalvia; Myida; Dreissenidae. The transcript has 2 exons. The record is from RefSeq and is a predicted model, not a curated record.
AUUGAAUCUUAAAUCAUGACGUCGAUUCGGAGCAGAACUAAAUUGGCGAUGCACCCGUUGGCAUCUAUAUUAUCUAAAGAGUUACGUACAAUUAUAGAUGAAUACAUGUAUUUUUCAGCCAUUUUAUUGAUGGAUUCGUUUAACCGCUUAACCAGAUUCCAGACUCUGCUGUGUGUAUUGUUAAACAAGGAAUGAAACAAUAUGGCGUAUCCAUCAGGUCGACAUCAAAAGCACCUGCAGAUAAAUUUGGCUGUGCAGUGGGAAGUCUUCAUUAUAUCAUAAUUAACCAGGUGUUGAAAAAAUACAGCUAUAACUGAAGAAAACGUAACGUGUUUCUUUGUUGGCACAUUUGAGUUGUGCUUGUAUAAUUAGAUAGUGACCAUACUAAGCAAUACAAUAUGACAUUACAUACGUGAUGUCACGCAGGCAGACUUGUUAAUCGAGAAGUGCUAUUAUGAUCACGUCAAAACAGCUGUUUCACAACAAUUUAACAGAGCCUGCGUAAAAUCACUUAUUCAGGUAUCUUAUAAAUUAACUGAAAAUACACAAGAACAUAAACAUCGCAAUCGUAUACUGUGGAUGUUUACAUCAACGUGGCAUGAAUGGCCAUUGUGAAAUAGGGAAGCUACCAUUGUGAAAUAUAGAAGCUACCAUUGUGAAAUAUAGAAGCUACCAUUGUGAAAUAGGGAAGCUACCAUUGUGAAAUAUAGAAGCUACCAUUGUGAAAUAGGGAAGCUACCAUUGUGAAAUAGGGAAGCUACCAUUGUGAAAUAUAGAAGCUACCAUUGUGAAAUAGGGAAGCUACCAUUGUGAAAUAGGGAAGCUACCAUUGUGAAAUAGAGAAGCUACCAUUGUGAAAGAGGGAAGCUACCAUUGUGAAAUAGGGAAGCUACCAUUGUGAAAUAGGGAAGCUACCAUUGUGAAAUAGAGAAGCUACCAUUGUGAAAUAGGGAAGCUACCAUUGUGAAAUAGAGAAGCUACCAUUGUGAAAUAGGGAAGCUACCAUUGUGAAAUAGAGAAGCUACCAUUGUGAAAUAGAGAAGCUACCAUUAUGAAAUAGGGAAGCUACCAUUGUGAAAUAGAGAAGCUACCAUUGUGAAAUAGGGAAGCUACCAUUGUGAAAUAGGGAAGCUAAUUGCGCUAUGUGAAUAUUUCCUUUGCAAUUGUCGCAACACAAGACAAGUUAUCUUAAUGUGGUAAUAAUGCUAAGCUAUAGAUUAUUGAUAGCACUUUUAGUUGCUAUAUACUAUACCCAUUAUAAAUUAUAUUGAUGAUUUCGUUUGGCCAUGCAACUUGCAAACAUCAAGUGUGGCACUCCUGGUCAUUUCAGAACAAAACUCAACACCAUUCAAGUUCCCAAAGUUUAAUAAAAAUACAUACAUAUACAAACAUUAAUAAGUAAAGAACAAAGAGAUGAAGAAGUUGCAAGCUUAAUUAUGCGUGUCCAUCCUAAAAAACAACAAGAUGCAGCGACAGAUACAUUGCUUGCUAACGGUCUACUUAACAACUUACUUUCGUCUUUUGUUAUACAGUACAGUACGACAAUUUUAUGAUAAACACUGGGAGAGAAGGCUAGAAAAUGUCUGAUUUUCAGACUCAAUUUAUUUUUCAUUUCAUUGGCUCCGGAAUAUUUAUAAACAAUGACAUUGAACCAGCCCGUUC